UUUAAAUUUCAAGAUGAGUGGGAUUCUCCACAUCCAAGGCGGCACCCAUAUUGGAGCCAAGUUCUGGGAGGUGCUCUGUGUCUAGCACGGCAUCAGCAGCUUCGGUAGGUAUGAAGGCUACGUGCUUUAACUUGAGAGGAUCAAUGUCUACUAUAAUGAGGCCAGUCGCACUAGCUAGGUUCAUGCCCAUGAAUAGCGUCAGAUCUAGAUCGUACAGCCGGAUCUUCAAGCCGGAAAACUUUGUCUUCGACUUAUACGCGCCGAGCACAACUAGGCUAAAGGUCGCUACACCGAAGGGGCUGAGUUGAUCGACCAAAGUGAAGAGAUUUAGGAUAUGCUAUCUAGCAUAGAGGUGGAGGCUUUGGGUUUGGAUGACCGAAAGGAAUGACUGCAAUUCUAAGAUUUUUGAGCUGCAAUAUCCGUUGCAAACAAAUUGCAGCAGUGACAACAGGUGAGAAGAGGAUUUGUUCGCAUAGUCAUGGAGAAUGGCUAUCCCCUGGUUUCAGUUUUGUGCUUUGGUCAGUGGGGGGAGUUAUUCCUGAAGUUUGCUAGAGCUAUCAGAUUCACCCCUCUUUCGGGGAAUGUUUGGGUAUGUAUUUACUUGUUUGAUAUUGUAUUAUUUACUUUUAGUGUCUUUUUUUUUUUUUUGCCUACUUUAUCAAGGGGAAACUCGAAACCAUUUUGGAGUGUUAGCCAAUCUAUAGUCACAAAAUUUCCAACAAUCAUCAAUUUCUAAUAGUUUAUGUAUACUCAUAGGUCUAAUGCUCAUCCUAUAUUUUAUCCUGCCAUUUACUUCUUAGUCCUGACUAGUGGCGUUGGAUAAUCCCUUUUGUUUGUGAUACGAAACCAAGUAAAUUGUUUAUAUGUUUCUGCCAUCUGUAAUUUGAUGAUUAAAUUCAUAACUUUUGUCUGGUAA
Rosa chinensis is the source of this 916-nucleotide long non-coding RNA. RefSeq lists it as uncharacterized. The record is from RefSeq and is a predicted model, not a curated record. The transcript has 4 exons. Lineage: Eukaryota; Viridiplantae; Streptophyta; Magnoliopsida; Rosales; Rosaceae.